GGCCCUUUAGCUCAGUGGUUAUAGCAGGCGACUAAUAAUCGCUUGGUCGCUGGUUCAAGUCCAGCAGGGGGCACCA
Molecule: transfer RNA, 76 nt
Filed under: Escherichia coli
Lineage: Bacteria; Pseudomonadati; Pseudomonadota; Gammaproteobacteria; Enterobacterales; Enterobacteriaceae
Description: tRNA-Ile
Rfam family: tRNA
About the family: Transfer RNA (tRNA) molecules are approximately 80 nucleotides in length. Their secondary structure includes four short double-helical elements and three loops (D, anti-codon, and T loops). Further hydrogen bonds mediate the characteristic L-shaped molecular structure. tRNAs have two regions of fundamental functional importance: the anti-codon, which is responsible for specific mRNA codon recognition, and the 3' end, to which the tRNAs corresponding amino acid is attached (by aminoacyl-tRNA synthetases). tRNAs cope with the degeneracy of the genetic code in two manners: having more than one tRNA (with a specific anti-codon) for a particular amino acid; and 'wobble' base-pairing, i.e. permitting non-standard base-pairing at the 3rd anti-codon position.
Source: RNAcentral